UCUGGCGGUUCGGGCAGUGUCUCCUCGUCAUCCAAUGGUACUGUCGAACUCCUUGUUUAUUCUCCAUGAACUGAAGUUCUUGCAUUGCACAGGACCUUGUUUUAACAGAAUGAUUUGAGUUAAGAGAGCAUCCCAUGCUAGUUUCAGAGGAUGGGUAGCUUAAAUUACUGUAGCAUCUUACUUGAGCAGUACGAUUUGAGUGAGUACUUGUUUCUGAGAUGUGCAAGUUGCCUUGGGAUUCAGUUAACUUGUCCUGCCAUUUACUUGUGCCUAUCAUUGACGAGAAAAUUUGUUUGCUUAGCACAUUCACAGGCCAGCCAGCUCAGGAAGUCUGAAAAUGAUGAGCAUGGUCGAGAACAACUCAAGCGCAACAGAAAGAUUGAUUACGCCAUCAGGUAUAAUGUACAUUUGCUAAUCUUUUGUUAAUGCACGCAUCAAAGCAAGCUACCAGUUGAUGUAAGUGCUCCAGAUAAGGAGCAACAUUAUUCAUGCAUAU
This 496-nucleotide long non-coding RNA is filed under the name Hordeum vulgare. RNAcentral describes it as "long non-coding RNA (HVUL_LNC005569)". The record is from RNAcentral. Lineage: Eukaryota; Viridiplantae; Streptophyta; Magnoliopsida; Poales; Poaceae.